UGAGUACGAGAUGCUACGGCAUCGAAGCAGUCUAUGUCAUACUUCCAAGAAAAGCUUGCACUGUCAUAAACAAAGAAUGCCUGUACCAUAACCGACACAGGUGGGUAGGUAGAGUAUACUAAGGGGCGCGAGAUAACUCUCUCUAAGGAACUCGGCAAAAUGACUCCGUAACUUCGGGAGAAGGAGUGCCUUAUUUCUAAGGUUGCAAUAACAAGAUCCAAGCAACUGUUUACCAAAAACACAGGUCUCCGCUAAGUCGUAAGACGAUGUAUGGGGGCUGACGCCUGCCCAGUGCCAGAAGGUUAAAGAAGUUGGUUAGCAUUAGCGAAGCUGAUAACUGAAGCCCUGGUGAACGGCGGCCGUAACAAUAACGGUCCUAAGGUAGCGAAAUUCCUUGUCGGGUAAGUUCCGACCCGCACGAAAGGCGUAAUGAUUUGGAUACUGUCUCGGAGAGGGGCUCGGUGAAAUAGACUUGUCUGUGAAGAUGCGGACUACCUGCACCUGGACAGAAAGACCCUAUGAAGCUUUACUGUAACUUGAGAUUGAAAUUGGACUUUAUUUGCGCAGUAUAGGUGGGAGGCGUUGAGAAUAAUCUUGCGGGAUUGUUGGAGCCAUCAGUGAGAUACCACUCUUGUAAUGUUAGAUUUCUAACUUUGUAUCAUUAUCUGGUCAAAGAACAGUUUCAGGCGGGCAGUUUGACUGGGGCGGUCGCCUCCCAAAGGGUAACGGAGGCGCACAAAGGUUUCCUCUGAACGGGUAGAAAUCGUAUCUAGAGUGUAAAGGCAUAAGGAAGCUUGACUGUGAGACCUACAAGUCGAGCAGGGACGAAAGUCGGUCUUAGUGAUCUGACGGUGCUGAGUGGAAAGGCCGUCACUCAACGGAUAAAAGUUACUCUAAGGAUAACAGGCUGAUCUCCCCCAAGAGUUCACAUCGACGGGGAGGUUUGGCACCUCGAUGUCGGCUCAUCGCAUCCUGGGGCGGUAGUCCGUCCCAAGGGUUGGGCUGUUCGCCCAUGAAAGCGGUACGCGAGCUGGGUUCAGAACGUCGUGAGACAGUUCGGUCCAUAUCCGGUGUAGGCGUUAGAAUAUUGAGAGGAGCCUUCUCUAGUACGAGAGGACCGAGAAGGACAUACCUCUGGUGUACCAGUUAUCGUGCCAACGGUAAACGCUGGGUAGCUAUGUAUGGAGUGGAUAACCGCUGAAAGCAUCUAAGUGGGAAGCCCACCUCAAGAUAAGUA
This 1237-nucleotide ribosomal RNA is filed under the name metagenome. Its description in RNAcentral is "bacterial LSU rRNA". It matches the Rfam family "Bacterial large subunit ribosomal RNA", at positions 1564 to 2810 of the family's 2925-position model. The record is from RNAcentral.